Molecule: ribosomal RNA, 253 nt
Filed under: uncultured bacterium
Lineage: Bacteria
Description: partial 16S ribosomal RNA
Rfam family: Bacterial small subunit ribosomal RNA
Source: RNAcentral
UACGUAGGGGGCAAGCGUUGUCCGGAAUCAUUGGGCGUAAAGCGCGCGUAGGCGGCCCAGUAAGUCCGUUGUAAAAGUCAAAGGCUCAACCUUUGAAAGCCGAUGGAUACUGCUGGGCUAGAGUCCGGAAGAGGCGAGUGGAAUUCCUGGUGUAGCGGUGGAAUGCGCAGAUAUCAGGAGGAACACCGAUAGCGAAGGCAGCUCGCUGGGACGGUACUGACGCUGAGGCGCGAAAGCGUGGGGAGCGAACAGG